AGGUUGAGAUGAUGUCACAAUGGAAAAUGGGCCAAAGGAGUAUAUGCCAAUACUACUCAAAGUGUGGUCUGGGGUACACUGCUCAUUCAUGAAUUGUUUCUUGAUGGUCCACAAUGACGUAAAGUUUCAGACAACUCACAAGACUCUACAUGUAUGGCAGAAUGCUCAUUCUUUUCAUCGUGUGCUACCACCACAUUUGAGGGUCUUCUCUCUGUCCGCCACUGAAUAACUUACAUUCGUUCACCCAACUAGUAAAGAAACACGUUCUCUCCAAGAUCGUCAGAUUCCCUUUGGCCUUCAGAGAGCUGGAUUCCUGGGUAUUGGAAAAAGCCCACAGCCACGUUCAUUUCCAGUAGUCUUGAUUUGUGAACUCUUCUCUAAAAUCCACAAAAACUCCUAAGCUCUGGGGCAAAAGGAACUGUGUCUGGCUAUGAGUCAGGACCAGCAACAGACAUUUCCAUAGUACUAUUCUCCAAGAACCUAGAGUGGUGCUUUGAACAGGUUCCAUGCUCAAUCAAGAUAAAGGAUCUGAGUUUCAGAGAGAUUAAGUGAAUUGCCCAAGCAAUUCAAUGAAACCAACCAUUCAGAUUUUCAACCAAAUUAUAUCAGACUCAACCUCUUGCUGUUUAUACCAAACCUACUAGAACUCCUUGCUCCUCAUGGAAAGAGGAAAUAGUGCCAGUCUUGGACUCAAAAGAAAAGGAGCACUAGUACAAUUAUGAGUGCCUAUGAUUCACAAGAACAGCUCUUUUAUGUUGGCUGUAAUAAUGCCAUUCUGGGUAAUGGACCAGACAGAAAGGAAGAAAACGCAGGACCAGAAGAGCCACAAACAACAUUUCAGGAUCAGCGUAACGGUUGCCAGAACAUGAAAAAUCGCAGAGCUUCCAGGCCCUGAGCCAACCUUAUUCAGGACUCAGGGGGGAAAAAACCAGUCUGGGUAAAUUCUCAGUGUAAACUCCUAGGGGAGCACAUCGCUAUGUCAGCCUAAAGAGAGGAUGAACCCCUGCACCUCUGUCUCGGCUUACUGUUAUUCCACCCCCAGAAAAAU
Molecule: long non-coding RNA, 1048 nt
Filed under: Equus asinus (donkey)
Lineage: Eukaryota; Metazoa; Chordata; Mammalia; Perissodactyla; Equidae
Description: lncRNA (ENSEASG00005033164.1)
Source: RNAcentral